AGGGUUUGAUCCUCGCUCAGAGCGAACGCUGGCGGCGUGCCUAACACAUGCAAGUCGCACGAGAAAGGGGUGGCAACACCCCCGGUAAAGUGGCGAACGGGUGAGUAACACGUGGGUAACCUACCCCCGGGUCAGGAAUAACCUGCCGAUAGGCGGGCUAAUACCGGAUGAUGACCGGGGAUCUUCGGAUUCCCUGUCCAAAGCUGACCUCUUCACGAAAGUUGGCGCCUGGGGAGGGGCCCGCGCCCCAUUAGCUAGUUGGUGAGGUAACGGCUCACCAAGGCUUCGAUGGGUAGCCGGCCUGAGAGGGCGACCGGCCACAGUGGAACUGAGACACGGUCCACACUCCUACGGGAGGCAGCAGUGAGGAAUCUUGCGCAAUGGGCGAAAGCCUGACGCAGCGACGCCGCGUGGACGAUGAAGGCCUUCGGGUCGUAAAGUCCUGUCGGGUGGGAAGAAUUGGUCCGGAGCUAAUAUCUCCGGAUCUUGACUGUACCAUCAGAGGAAGCCCCGGCUAACUCCGUGCCAGCAGCCGCGGUAAUACGGAGGGGGCCAGCGUUGCUCGGAAUUAUUGGGGCGUAAAGGGCGUGUAGGCGGGCCGAACAAGUUUUGAUGUGAAAUCCCACGGCUCAACCGUGGAAUUGCAUCUCAUACUGCCCGGCUAGAGUCUGGGAGAGGGAAGUGGAAUUCCCGGUGUACCGGGUGAAAUGCGUAGAUUUCGGGAGGAACACCAGUGGCGAA
This 741-nucleotide ribosomal RNA is filed under the name uncultured bacterium. RNAcentral describes it as "bacterial SSU rRNA". It matches the Rfam family "Bacterial small subunit ribosomal RNA", at positions 8 to 719 of the family's 1533-position model. The record is from RNAcentral.